RNAcentral lists this ribosomal RNA (447 nucleotides) under uncultured bacterium. RNAcentral's name for it is "partial 16S ribosomal RNA". It matches the Rfam family "Bacterial small subunit ribosomal RNA", at positions 29 to 523 of the family's 1533-position model. The record is from RNAcentral.
AGCGAACGCUGGCGGCAGGCCUAACACAUGCAAGUCGAGCGCCCCGCAAGGGGAGCGGCAGACGGGAGAGUAACACGUGGGAACGUACCCUUCAGUUCGGAACAACCAAGGGAAACUUUGGCUAAUACCGGAUACGUCCGAAAGGAGAAAGAUUUAUCGCUGAAGGAUCGGCCCGCGUCUGAUUAGCUAGUUGGUGGGGUAACGGCCCACCAAGGCGACGAUCAGUAGCUGGUCUGAGAGGAUGAUCAGCCUCACUGGGACUGAGACACGGCCCAGACUCCUACGGGAGGCAGCAGUUGGGAAUAUUGGACAAUGGGCGCAAGCCUGAUCCAGCCAUGCCGCGUGGAUGAUGAAGGCCCUAGGGUUGUAAAGUCCUUUCGGCGGUGAAGAUAAUGACGGUACCCGCAGAAGAAGCCCCGGCUAACUUCGUGCCAGCCGCCGCGGUAA